GCUGUGGUUCAGUGGCAAAACAUUUGCUUGGUAUGUAGAAGGUCUCCUGUUCAAUUCCCAGCAUGUGCA
Molecule: transfer RNA, 69 nt
Filed under: Sphaerodactylus townsendi
Lineage: Eukaryota; Metazoa; Chordata; Lepidosauria; Squamata; Sphaerodactylidae
Description: tRNA-Thr
Source: RNAcentral